This 441-nucleotide ribosomal RNA is filed under the name uncultured bacterium. RNAcentral describes it as "bacterial SSU rRNA". It matches the Rfam family "Bacterial small subunit ribosomal RNA", at positions 338 to 795 of the family's 1533-position model. The record is from RNAcentral.
CCUANGGGAGGCUGCAGUAAGGGAUAUUGCACAAUGGGGGAAACCUUGAUGCAGCAACGCCGCGUGCGCGAAGAAGGCCUUCGGGUCGUAAAGCGCUUUUCUGAGGGAAGAGGAAGGACAGUACCUCAGGAAUAAGUCUCGGCUAACUACGUGCCAGCAGCCGCGGUAAGACGUAGGAGGCGAGCGUUAUCCGGAUUUACUGGGCGUAAAGGGCAAGUAGGCGGCAGCGAAAGUUGUGCGUAAAAUCUCCCGGCUCAACUGGGAGGGUGCGUGCAAAACUAGGCUGCUAGAGGGCAGAAGAGGGGGGCAGAAUUCCUGGUGUAGCGGUGGAAUGCUCAGAUACCAGGAGGAAUACCAGUGGCGAAAGCGGCCCCCUGGUCUGAACCUGACGCUGAGAGGCGAAAGCUAGGGGAGCGAACGGGCUUAGAUACCCUGNUANUC